Molecule: ribosomal RNA, 429 nt
Filed under: uncultured bacterium
Lineage: Bacteria
Description: bacterial SSU rRNA
Rfam family: Bacterial small subunit ribosomal RNA
Source: RNAcentral
UGGGGAAUAUUGGGCAAUGGGCGAAAGCCUGACCCAGCGACGCCGCGUGGGUGAUGAAGGCCUUCGGGUUGUAAAACCCUUUCGUGCGGAAAGAAUAGUCUCGUAGCGAAUAACUACGGGAUUUGACGGUACCGCAGGAAGAAGCACCGGCUGACUCCGUGCCAGCAGCCGCGGUAAUACGGAAGGUGCAAGCGUUGUUCGGAAUUAUUGGGCGUAAAGGGCGCGUAGGUGGUUGUGAUAGUCAGAUGUGAAAUCCUUCGGCUCAACCGAAGAACUGCAUCUGAAACUUCAUAGCUCGAGUACAGGAGAGGGAAACGGAAUUCCCGGUGUAGAGGUGAAAUUCGUAGAUAUCGGGAGGAACACCAGUGGCGAAGGCGGUUUCCUGGCCUGAUACUGACGCUGAGGCGCGAAAGCGUGGGGAGCAAACAG